UGGGGAAUAUUGCACAAUGGGCGCAAGCCUGAUGCAGCGACGCCGCGUGGAGGAAGAAGGUUCUCGGAUUGUAAACUCCUGUUGAGUGAGAAGAAAUACUAGUCGUUAAUACCGGCUAGGGCUGACGGUAUCACUCGAGAAAGCACCGGCAAACUUCGUGCCAGCAGCCGCGGUAAUACGAAGGGUGCGAGCGUUAUUCGGAGUUAUUGGGCGUAAAGAGCGUGUAGGCGGUCUAUUAAGUCAGUUGUUAAAGAACCCAGCUUAACUGGGUAAAUGCGAUUGAAACUGAUAGGCUGGAGUGUGAGAGAGAGAAGUGGAAUUCUCGGAGUAGCGGUAAAAUGCGUAGAUCUCGAGAGGAACACCGGUGGCGAAGGCGGCUUCUUGGCUCACUACUGACGCU
This 400-nucleotide ribosomal RNA is filed under the name uncultured bacterium. RNAcentral describes it as "bacterial SSU rRNA". It matches the Rfam family "Bacterial small subunit ribosomal RNA", at positions 355 to 747 of the family's 1533-position model. The record is from RNAcentral.